Molecule: non-coding RNA, 71 nt
Organism: Phrynosoma platyrhinos (Desert horned lizard)
Lineage: Eukaryota; Metazoa; Chordata; Lepidosauria; Squamata; Phrynosomatidae
Source: the annotation of a GenBank genome assembly
GGUGUAGUGGUGUAGUGGUUUGAGUGUUGGACUAGGACUCGGAAACCAGGGUUCAAAUCCUGGCUUGGCCA